GGAGGCAAUUUAGGAAAUAACUCUCCAAUUCUCUUCAACUUGUGGAGUUGCAAUAAUACAAACGGGAAUAACGUAAGCCUGAAAGCCACUGCUGAAGAAACUAUAAUGAUCCACCAUGGGAAGCCAGUAAGGUCAUGAUAACCAUCCAACAACGAAAUCAAGGCACGUACAGGAAGAAUGGACUCCUCAACACUCUCAGUAAUAUUUUUGCUGAUCAGCAACUCCAUGUUCUCAUACUGAGUAACCGCCGAAUCACUGAAGUCACCAAUUUCCGAGUCGCGAGUGGAGAAGGAACGGCAGAAGGAAACACUGUGCGGAAUAACAAAUAGCCGCUUUGAUGGUAACAACGAGUUCAAAAAAUGGACAUACCGGUUGUGCCCACGGUUGUGAUCGGAAGGGUUUGAGGGUUUAUUGUGAGAAUCUGAAGAAGUGAAAUUGUGGAGAAAGUAUAUUUCCGGCGAAUUACGAGAGUAGCGGCGGUGCCGGAGGACUCUCU
This 496-nucleotide unclassified non-coding RNA is filed under the name Hevea brasiliensis (rubber tree). Lineage: Eukaryota; Viridiplantae; Streptophyta; Magnoliopsida; Malpighiales; Euphorbiaceae. The record is from RNAcentral.